AAACAAUGAUAUCUCCAUACUUAGUUAUCCGCCUGGGAAUUACGAACAUCAGUUUAAAACCCAAAGGACCUGGCGGUGCUUAAUAUCCCCCUAGAGGAGCCUGUUCUAGAACCGAUAACCCCCGUUCAACCUCACCCCCUUUUGCAGUGCCUGCCUAUAUACCGCCGUCGCCAGCUUACCCUGUCAAGGCCUAAAAGUAAGCAAAAUUGGUAUAACCCAAAACGUCAGGUCGAGGUGUAGUAUAUGAGGAGGGAAGAAAUGGGCUACAUUGACUACAUUAGUCUAAACGAAAAGCAUAAUGAAACUUAAGCUUGAAGGUGGAUUUAGUAGUAAGUAAAAAAUAGAGAGUUUU
This 352-nucleotide ribosomal RNA is filed under the name Cynoglossus nigropinnatus. RNAcentral describes it as "partial 12S ribosomal RNA". It matches the Rfam family "Bacterial small subunit ribosomal RNA", at positions 804 to 1360 of the family's 1533-position model. Lineage: Eukaryota; Metazoa; Chordata; Actinopteri; Pleuronectiformes; Cynoglossidae. The record is from RNAcentral.